Molecule: long non-coding RNA, 102 nt
Organism: Ochotona curzoniae (black-lipped pika)
Lineage: Eukaryota; Metazoa; Chordata; Mammalia; Lagomorpha; Ochotonidae
Exons: 3
Source: RefSeq, a predicted model, not a curated record
GAAAGGCACCUAACUGGGGUCCCUUGGUCAAAUAAUGGGUGGGUCACUUGGGUGCUAGAAUCCACUGCCUCACCACAGAAGGAAGACACUGGGAGUCCUGGC